RNAcentral lists this ribosomal RNA (914 nucleotides) under uncultured marine archaeon. RNAcentral's name for it is "bacterial SSU rRNA". It matches the Rfam family "Archaeal small subunit ribosomal RNA", at positions 1 to 922 of the family's 1478-position model. The record is from RNAcentral.
UUCCGGUUGAUCCCGCCGGACCUGACUGCUAUCGGAUUGAUACUAAGCCAUGCGAGUCAUUGUAGUAAUACAAGGCAGACGGCUCAGUAACGCGUAGUCAACCUACCCUAUGGACGAGGAUAAUCUCGGGAAACUGAGGAUAAUACUCGAUAGAUCAUUAUGCCUGGAACGGUUAAUGGUUAAAACGAUUCGUCGCCAUAGGAUGGGACUGCGGCCUAUCAGCUUGUUGGUGAGGUAAUGGCCCACCAAGGCGAUUACAGGUACGGGCUCUGAGAGGAGAAGCCCGGAGAUGGGUACUGAGACAAGGACCCAGGCCCUAUGGGGCGCAGCAGGCGAGAAAACUUUGCAAUGUGCGAAAGCACGACAAGGUUAGUCCGAGUGAUUUCUGCUAAAGAAAUCUUUUGCAAGUCAUAAAACCACUAGUGAAUAAGGGGUGGGCAAGUUCUGGUGUCAGCCGCCGCGGUAAAACCAGCACCUCAAGUGGUCAGGAUGAUUAUUGGGCCUAAAGCAUCCGUAGCCGGCUCUGUUAGUUUUCGGUUAAAUCUAUGUGCUCAACGCAUGGGCUGCCGAAAAUACUGCAGGGCUAGGGAGUGGGAGAGGUAGACGGUACUCGGUAGGAAGGGGUAAAAUCCUUUGAUCUAUCGAUGACCACCUGUGGCGAAGGCGGUCUACCAGAACACGUUCGACGGUGAGGGAUGAAAGCUGGGGGAGCAAACCGGAUUAGAUACCCGGGUAGUCCCAGCUGUAAACGAUGCAGACUCGAUGAUGCAUUGGCAUAUAGCCAGUGCAGUGUCGCAGGGAAGCCGUUAAGUCUGCCGCCUGGGAAGUACGUACGCAAGUAUGAAACUUAAAGGAAUUGGCGGGGGAGCACCACAAGGGGUGAAGCCUGCGGUUCAAUUGGAGUCAACGCCGGG